CGGACGGGUGAGUAAUGUCUGGGAAACUGCCUGAUGGAGGGGGAUAACUACUGGAAACGGUAGCUAAUACCGCAUAAUGUCGCAAGACCAAAGAGGGGGACCUUCGGGCCUCUUGCCAUCAGACGUGCCCAGAUGGGAUUAGCUUGUUGGUGGGGCAACGGCUCACCAAGGCGACGAUCCCUAGCUGGUCUGAGAGGAUGACCAGCCACACUGGAACUGAGACACGGUCCAG
RNAcentral lists this ribosomal RNA (232 nucleotides) under uncultured Enterobacterales bacterium. Its description in RNAcentral is "partial 16S ribosomal RNA". It matches the Rfam family "Bacterial small subunit ribosomal RNA", at positions 99 to 334 of the family's 1533-position model. Lineage: Bacteria; Pseudomonadati; Pseudomonadota; Gammaproteobacteria; Enterobacterales. The record is from RNAcentral.